CUGUGGCCGGCACGCGGACCCGGGCGCGGACCGCCGGAAUCGGUCCGGCAGGAUGCGGCCGGCCUCGGCGAGGUCGGUGUCCUCGAUCCCGGA
Molecule: transfer RNA, 93 nt
Filed under: Streptomyces clavifer
Lineage: Bacteria; Bacillati; Actinomycetota; Actinomycetes; Kitasatosporales; Streptomycetaceae
Description: tRNA-Ser
Source: RNAcentral